RNAcentral lists this ribosomal RNA (279 nucleotides) under Acaulospora scrobiculata. It matches the Rfam family "Eukaryotic large subunit ribosomal RNA", at positions 430 to 694 of the family's 3401-position model. The record is from RNAcentral. Lineage: Eukaryota; Fungi; Glomeromycota; Glomeromycetes; Diversisporales; Acaulosporaceae.
CAGUCGCGUCUGUCGGAAUUCAGCCUGGCUUUUGCCUGGUGUAUUUUCUGGCUGACGGGUCAGCAUCAAUUUCGACCGAGGGAAAAAGACUUGGGGGAUGUGGCUGUCUUCGGGCAGUGUUAUAGACCCUUGUUGUAUGUCUCGGUUGGGAUUGAGGAAUGCAGCGCGCCUUUUGGCCGGGGUUCGCGCCCUCGGUACGCGCUUAGGAUGCUGGCAUAAUGGCUUUAAGCGACCCGUCUUGAAACACGGACCAAGGAGUCUAACAUAUAUGCGAGUGUU